Gasterosteus aculeatus aculeatus (three-spined stickleback) is the source of this 2558-nucleotide long non-coding RNA. Lineage: Eukaryota; Metazoa; Chordata; Actinopteri; Perciformes; Gasterosteidae. The record is from Ensembl.
GCUUCAUGUUCAGGAAGGAGUCCUGUGAUGAAACACAAAGAGGCUCAAAGCUGCGUGAAGCCGGAUCAGGACCAAACUGAGAGCGGUUCUGUAGAGUCUGCAUGAGUCCUGAUCUCUAAGUGAUUAAUAACUAAUCAAACGUUCCUCACAGUAACGUCUGAUGAACACGAUCCCUUAUGGAGGGAACCAGCAUGCUGAGUCCUCACGUGAUCUGGUCUCCACUAAAGGCUCAAACCUGCAGAGCUGCUGCUGUUCUCACACGUUCUCACCACAACGCUUCCUCUUCACUUCUGAGGAAACAACCACCAGAUGCAAAGAGGAAGAAACUCAUCCUCAGAGCUCCGACACGUCGUCUCUAUGAGCACGACGAGGAAGUGACGCUGUGCAACCAGAGGAAGCAGAAGCUGCAUCUGUGAGGAAGAAGCACUCGGUCAGACGCCUUGAGGAGCAGAGACACCAUGGUGGAACUCAGAGGGACUCAAAGGACUUUAUGUGUGAUGCUGCUGCUGCUUCAGGCUGCAGUAAGAGGACAAACCCCCCCUGUCCCCCGCUUCCUCGUCAGAGCCGGAGAUGACGUCACUUUGCCUUCUAAUCAGGACAGAUGUAACGGAUCUACUUGGCUUCACAGUCGUAGUGAUCCAGCUGUGGAGCUGGUUACACUUGGGAAGAUUAAGAAUAACGCUUUGAUUCCAGAAGCUAAAACCAACAGACUGAGUUUGACAGCAAACUGUUCUCUGGUUAUAAGAAACGUCUCAGGUGAAGGUGUUGGUCGUUACACCAACAGACAUUAUGAUGAAGGAGGAAAACAUCAAGGUCCAGAUGGUGUGGUCUCUCUGUACGUGUUUACAAUGGAGGAAAAGGACUACGGGGGUCUGGUUGUGUUGUCCUGCUUUGUGUUGAGAUUCUCUGAGUGUGAACACACAGUAAAGUGGCAUUAUGACGGCAAACAGACUGAUGUGACGACAUCACACGUUGCUUGUGAAGCCAAUGUGACGUUUAAAGCUCCUCUUCAUCAGAAGUCAAAGUAUUAUAAGUCACUGAGAUGUGAAGUGAGAGACACUCGGAGUGGAAAAACUCUGCUGUUUGAAGCCUGCAGUCAGUUCUCAUGUGAACAAACAGUAAGAGGACAAACCCCCCCUGACCCCCGCUUCCUCGUCAGAGCCGGAGAUGACGUCACUUUGCCUUCUAACCAUGUGGAUCAGGACAGAUGUGACGGUUCUACUUGGCUUUACAAUCGUACUGAUUCAUCUGUGGAGCUGGUUACACUUGGGAAGAUUAAUAAUAACGCUUUGAUUCCAGAAGCUAAAAGCAACAAACUGAGUUUGACAGCAAACUGUUCUCUGGUUAUAAGAAGCGUCUCAGGUGAAGAUGUUGGUCGUUACACCAACAGAGAUUUUAAUGAAGCAGGAAAACAACAAGGUCCAGAUGGUGUGGUCUCUCUGUCCAUGUUUACAAUGGAGGAAAAGGACUACGGGGGUCUGGUUGUGUUUUCCUGCUUUGUGUUGAGAUUCUCUGAGUGUGAACACACAGUAGAGUGGCUUUAUGACGGCAAACAGACUGAUGUGAUGAUGUCACACGCUGCUUGUGAAGCCACUGUGACGUUUAAAGCUCCUCUUCAUCAGAAGUCAAAGUAUUAUAAGUCACUGAGAUGUGAAGUGAGAGACAAUCAGAGCGGAAAAACUCUGCUGUUUGAAGCCUGCAGUCAGUUCUCAUCUGAACAAACAGGUACGUUUGUGAAAAGACGACAUCAUUUUAUUCCUCAUUCAGUCUCCUCAGGUAGUAAACACUGAUUUAUUUCACCUCCUUUUCUCGUGUCUGUGUUUCAUAUCAUAUUCCACUAAACCAAAGGAGGCCCAUCGGGGGAGGGAAACAUUACACCACCUGCACCACCAGUCUGGUGGCCGUGGCUCGUCAUCCCGCUGGUGGGUUUAUUGGUCCUCUUCAUCAUCCUCGUGGUCUUCAUCAGAUGGAGAAAUCAAGGGAAAAGAACACAGACGGACGAAAACAUCGCCGACCCCGAGGAAGGCGUAGCCUACGCCUCCGUCAGCUACACCAGGACGGCCGGCGGAGGAGCCCGGGCUCGGGUCAAAGAUGGCGACGAUGGCGACGAUGUGGUGACUUACUGCACUGUGAAAGCUCCGCCUCCUGCUUCUUCUUCUAGUGCCGGAGCCUCCGUUGAUCCCAGUGACCUCUACGCGGUCGUCAACACACCCAACAAAUAAGAGGCUACGUUGAUGAUUGUAAACCAAGUCAAGCUUUCUUCAUCACGUUCACUCACUGCUGAGAUGAAUUGAGCCAUUUAGCAAAAUGUUUAGAGCAUUUUAUAUUCAUUGAUGUUUUAUUUGAAUAACCUGAAUGUUCCCACCAGAUAAAUCAGAUUAUUAUUGGAAAAUAUAAAUAUGAUAAUACUGAAACCUAGUUUUGCAUUUAAAGUGAGCUUUUGACCACGUUUUUUUACAUUAUGAUAAUUUGUAGGAUUUAGUUCUUUUGAUUUAUAUCCAUCCAGAUGAGGGUGUAAGUGAACUAUAGAACAAUGUGCAACAUUCAUUAGAAAAUUA